CCUACGGGAGGCAGCAGUGGGGAAUAUUGGACAAUGGGCGAAAGCCUGAUCCAGCAAUUCCGCGUGUGUGAAGAAGGCCUUCGGGUUGUAAAGCACUUUAGUGGGGGAAGAAACAGCUUGGCCACACCAAGCCUUGACGGUACCCCAAGAAUAAGCACCGGCUAACUCUGUGCCAGCAGCCGCGGUAAUACAGAGGGUGCAAGCGUUAAUCGGAUUUACUGGGCGUAAAGGGUGCGUAGGUGGCUAUUUAAGUCGGAUGUGAAAGCCCGGGGCUCAACCUCGGAAUUGCAUUCGAUACUGAGUGGCUAGAGUUCGGUAGAGGGCGGCGGAAUUUCCGGUGUAGCGGUGAAAUGCGUAGAUAUCGGAAGGAACAUCAAUGGCGAAGGCAGCCGCCUGGGCCUGGACUGACACUGAGGCACGAAAGCGUGGGUAGCAAACAGGAUUAGAUACCCUGGUAGUCCACGCCGUAAACGAUGAGAACUUGACGUUGGUUCGUUUUACGAAUCGGUGUCGCAGCUAACGCGAUAAGUUCUCCGCCUGGGGAGUACGGCCGCAAGGUUGAAAACUCAAAAUGAAAUUGACGGCNGAGACGNGCGAGACGACACGAGGGAGAG
Molecule: ribosomal RNA, 614 nt
Filed under: uncultured bacterium
Lineage: Bacteria
Description: bacterial SSU rRNA
Rfam family: Bacterial small subunit ribosomal RNA
Source: RNAcentral